GACAGAGGGUGCAAACGUUGCUCGGAAUCACUGGGCGUAAAGGGCGUGUAGGCGGGACGUAAGUCGGGCGUGAAAUCCCUAGGCUCAACCUAGGAACUGCACUCGAAACUACCAUUCUUGAGUGUCGGAGAGGAAAGCGGAAUUCCUGGUGUAGAGGUGAAAUUCGUAGAUAUCAGGAGGAACACCAGUGGCGAAGGCGCUUCUGGACGAUACUGACGCUGAGGUGCGAAAGCGUGGGGAGCAAACAGG
This 249-nucleotide ribosomal RNA is filed under the name uncultured bacterium. RNAcentral's name for it is "partial 16S ribosomal RNA". It matches the Rfam family "Bacterial small subunit ribosomal RNA", at positions 524 to 776 of the family's 1533-position model. The record is from RNAcentral.